Molecule: long non-coding RNA, 321 nt
Organism: Megalobrama amblycephala (Wuchang bream)
Lineage: Eukaryota; Metazoa; Chordata; Actinopteri; Cypriniformes; Xenocyprididae
Exons: 3
Source: RefSeq, a predicted model, not a curated record
CUACUGUCUGGAUCUCAUUUUCUCAAGUUUUUGCAUCACAGAUAAACAGAGUCGCGGCAGAUAUAGAGUUGUGCUGGAGGAUGUUUUACCCGCUGGGACAGUUUGUGGCCCAAACAACAGAACUGUCUCCUGGUCAAUGGAACUCUGCCUUCAAAAAUAAAUACUGGAAUAAUCCAAACGGCCUACUUGAAAAUGAACACUGAUGAUGGAAUAAAAUGUCUCCAUUUACAACAAAGGUAGGCUACUUUGGGUCUGACAGACAGCCAUUGUGAAGGACACAAUCUGGCAAAAAUUUACCUGCAGAAGUGAAUGGGAGGAUAU